Molecule: ribosomal RNA, 253 nt
Filed under: uncultured bacterium
Lineage: Bacteria
Description: partial 16S ribosomal RNA
Rfam family: Bacterial small subunit ribosomal RNA
Source: RNAcentral
UACGUAGGGUGCGAGCGUUAAUCGGAAUUACUGGGCGUAAAGCGUGCGCAGGCGGUUUUGUAAGCCAGAUGUGAAAUCCCCGGGCUUAGCCUGGGAAUGGCAUUUGGGACUGCAAGGCUUGAGUGCGGCAGAGGAGACUGGAAUUCCUGGUGUAGCAGUGAAAUGCGUAGAUAUCAGGAGGAAUACCGAUGGCGAAGGCAGGUCUCUGGGCCACUACUGACGCUGAGAAGCGAAAGCAUGGGGAGCGAACAGG